Molecule: long non-coding RNA, 1273 nt
Filed under: Equus caballus (horse)
Lineage: Eukaryota; Metazoa; Chordata; Mammalia; Perissodactyla; Equidae
Description: lncRNA (ENSECAG00000047477.1)
Source: RNAcentral
CAGGGCAUCAGGCCCAUCUCAGCAACGAGUGAUGGGAGGCCCUGCCUAGGCCGCCAUCCAGGCUCCCUGGGUGGCUAAGGCUCGGAGCUGCCUGGCUGUGUGGCCGCAGGAGGUGGUGGCUGAGCUGGACUCAGCCUCUCCCUCUGGCCCUGCCCAUGAGGGAAGAGAAGUCGGGCCCCUCCCAGUCAGGAAGCACAUCAGUGGCUGAGCUGUCCCUUCCUGCCUGAGGCCUCAGUCUCCCCAUCUGUCAUCAGAGAGGGUUAGAUUACAAGGUCUCAGCUCCUCUGCCCCAAGGUCUGGAGCCCAGAGCCUGGCCCAGGUCCAAGUCCGGUCUCUGGAAGGGCCUGCCCACUGGCACCAGUGCAACACUGGAAGAAGUGGGAGGGGGCCUAGUUCUGGGCUAAGGGGGCUGUUUCUGUUGGACUUUGGCUGUCUGCCUUCCAGGGCAAUGUGCUCAGCUGUCGGAAUGAGGUAAGGAGCUGCGGCCUCACUGUGGUGAGAGUGGGUGUGUGGAAAUCAGAGAGCCCCCCUUUCAUAAGAAGCCCUCAAGCCCAAUCCCUGGGGUCAGACAUUUAUUUGCAGAGUUCAAUAUACAGAGCUGGGGAUCCUGUGGCGUUGGUGGGUGGGGGAAGGGCUGGCAUCAAGGACCCCUUCCUGGUAGAGGAUCUAUUUCGGGCCAACUGUGAGAACAGGCACGUCCUGACUGGAAUUGCAGGGAAGGAGGGUUCCCAAGUUGGCAAAGGCCCCAGACUGGCUCCAUGUCCCCCCUACACCCCCUCCAAGAGCCCUGCAGGGUCCCCCACCCAGGCCAUAUCUCCAUCUUGUCCUUUCUCUGUCCCAGGAAUUCAAAUUCAUCAAGGACAUCAAGCUGGUACAGAAGGCUGCAAAUCUGUACACCAUGCAGCCCGAUGAGCACUUUGGGGCCUGGUUGCAGGCUGUGGAGCCCCUGAGCGAGGAGCUACAGCCUGUCCUGUCUGCUGGAGCCAUGAUACCAGUGGACCAGAAAGAUUCCACUCUUAUUCAAAGACAAGAAGAGCCACUCAUCUUCCUGCCCAGGGCUGAACACCAGGCCCCCAAAAAAGAGCCCAGUGGUGGUGGCAGAUGACGCUCCUUAGACCAGCUGAACUACAUCAGGGACAAAGCGGGGACACUCAGGUGCACGGGGCCACCUCUCAGAUGCUGAUAUGAAUGAAAACUUUGUGAUCCAUUUCCUGGGGUCCCUGAAGACCACAAGGGAGUGGACGACCACCCCCAUCUCCCUGACACAUUUUCC